UUUGUGUGAAAUGGGCUAAUGAUUUAAAUAUCUCAGAGAAAUGAAAGGUGCAUCAAGUGAGCGCCUGGUAAAAGUGAUCGCGGGCUCGCGGAAAUGACAGGCGCGCGGAUGAGCUCGCGCUUGCUGAGGGACCCUGGUGAUGGAGCUGCGGCUGCUGCUGACACUGGAAGAUUAGCGGUGAGCAGCACUUUCAGUACACGCCGGUCUGUGUGAGGAUGAUUGUGAGAGACUCUGCUGGAAUUUGGCAGGCCCGCUGCUUGGAGAGGCGCCCCACGCUGUGACUCCCAUUCAGCGGUCCAGCGCGCUGUGAGGUUGGGAAGUUUCACUGAGCCGUGCACUCAAUGGCUCCACAAAGCUGAUUACAAGCCCCAGCGAAUUCCUGAAGAGACCGGGCAGCCACGCAGGUGUGCGGGAAACCGGGGCAACCCUUCAGAGUUAUAGUGACAGAGCAAGACAAGCCGGGAGACCACACAAAAAGCAAAGCGUCCCGCGAAGUGGCCAGGGCUUUGGUGGGAAAAGAGCACCUUAAAUGUCCUCUCCCUUGUGAGCGAAAAGGGAAGGGAGGAUAAACUUUGCGAAGGCCUAUUAAAACGAUGCCCAGUCUCCUCAGGACAGUGAACUGAAAUGCCUUGUUAGCAUCGGAAACGAAUUUCUGUUUUCAUGUUUGCCAUAUGCAUUCUGAAUAAUCUAGUGUCUAGUGUCUCGCAUAAAAUGGGGUUGGGGGUUAACGACGAUUCAUAAAACGUAAAGGCCUGCUCUCCCUCACCGUGCCCUAUUCAUUUCUCU
This is a long non-coding RNA of Cyprinus carpio (common carp), 786 nucleotides long. The record is from Ensembl. Lineage: Eukaryota; Metazoa; Chordata; Actinopteri; Cypriniformes; Cyprinidae.